AGUGAACGCUGGCGGUAGGCCUAACACAUGCAAGUCGAACGGCAGCACAGAGGAGCUUGCUCCUUGGGUGGCGAGUGGCGGACGGGUGAGGAAUACAUCGGAAUCUACUCUGUCGUGGGGGAUAACGUAGGGAAACUUACGCUAAUACCGCAUACGACCUACGGGUGAAAGCAGGGGACCUUCGGGCCUUGCGCGAUUGAAUGAGCCGAUGUCGGAUAAGCUAGUUGGCGGGGUAAAGGCCCACCAAGGCGACGAUCCGUAGCUGGUCUGAGAGGAUGAUCAGCCACACUGGAACUGGGACACGGUCCAGACUCCUACGGGAGGCAGCAGUGGGGAAUAUUGGACAAUGGGCGCAAGCCUGAUCCAGCCAUACCGCGUGGGUGAAGAAGGCCUUCGGGUUGUAAAGCCCUUUUGUUGGGAAAGAAAUCCAGCUGGCUAAUACCCGGUUGGGAUGACGGUACCCAAAGAAUAAGCACCGGCUAACUUCGUGCCAGCCGCCGCAGUAA
This 506-nucleotide ribosomal RNA is filed under the name uncultured bacterium. RNAcentral's name for it is "partial 16S ribosomal RNA". It matches the Rfam family "Bacterial small subunit ribosomal RNA", at positions 29 to 523 of the family's 1533-position model. The record is from RNAcentral.